UCAGUUUCACGGAAAAACAAGCACUUGGGGAGAAAAAUGGAGUGAAGCCAAGGAGAGCCAAGUGGAGAUCGUAGAGCUUUGUUCGUCUGAAUUAAGUGAUCGAGAAUAAGUAGCUGUUGAUUGCUGUCGUGAGUGGCUACCUCUCACUGUGUCUUUAGGUGCUCUGAUACGUAACGGGAUGUGAACUUUUGUGGCUAUUUUCUAUUCCUUACGUAUUGCUUAUGAUUUUACAUGACUAUAAUUUAGUUUGGAUUUUAUGAGAUGUUAUGAUGAGGCCUUCGUACCAAAGACUAUUUUAGUUGUUGAAUUUAAUCCGCUGCGAAAUAUUGAUUAUUAUGUUGAUUAUAUUUUGAAGGAUAAUUAGUUAAUUAUUCCAUUUAUGAUUUUUAAGAAGUGUAGCAUUCCGUUUAUGUGAAAAACUCUGAUUAUUUGUUAUGAAAUUUUUAAGUUGGGAAAAACAGGGUGUUACACAUAUCAUUGCCUAAACUAUGACUGCGUUAUUGUGAUUGAUGUGGAAUGACUUGUGGAAUUAUCUUGUUGAUUGCCUU
Molecule: long non-coding RNA, 548 nt
Filed under: Medicago truncatula (barrel medic)
Lineage: Eukaryota; Viridiplantae; Streptophyta; Magnoliopsida; Fabales; Fabaceae
Description: lncRNA gene30926
Source: RNAcentral